UGGCGUUUAGCUCAGCGGUAGAGCACCCGGCUGUUAACCGGGCGGUCCCAGGUUCGAAUCCUGGAAUGCCAGCCA
This 75-nucleotide transfer RNA is filed under the name Pseudomonas silvicola. Its description in RNAcentral is "Pseudomonas sp. T1-3-2 tRNA-Asn". It matches the Rfam family "tRNA". Rfam says of the family: Transfer RNA (tRNA) molecules are approximately 80 nucleotides in length. Their secondary structure includes four short double-helical elements and three loops (D, anti-codon, and T loops). The record is from RNAcentral. Lineage: Bacteria; Pseudomonadati; Pseudomonadota; Gammaproteobacteria; Pseudomonadales; Pseudomonadaceae.